UGCUGGGAUUACAGGCGUGAGCCACCGCGCCCGGCCAGAAUGAGAUUUUUAACACGAGCAGGAAGCACUCCAUGUAAACCUACUGUUUAAUUGGAUAUUGUACUCAAAGGUGCUUCUCUAAAUGAGCCAGUGAAAACCCAAGUGGGCGUUGGAUAAUACUUAACAGAUAGGGUUGCAUAGUUUCAGUGUAACGGUGCCUCUGUGGGUUACAGCACCAUGGUCAAAACUGGAAAAAUAGUUUCUUAGAAACGAAUAAAGGCAAACUAUGGGAAAAUGGUCAUGGAAGGCUCUCUCACUAAGAAGAAGAAAACUCAGAAUGUCUUGUUAUUAGCAACAUAGAUCUCCAACUAAAGGGCUUACUCAUCCCUGCACUUGUGAUGUCUGCAUGGAGAUGAAACAGAGAUUCAAAAGGGUCAGGUCACUGGCUCCAGGUCAACUCUACUACUAAACAGAAAAGCAAGGACCAAAAUUCAGAUCUUUGUGACCCUCAAUGCCACUAUGCCAUGCGAUGAUGCCUGCCUCUUUUAGAGGCCAACUAAUAGGAAUGAUGCAGCUCUGGAUGUUGGAAAGGACAAUUCCGGCGUUUUACUCUUCUGACCAGUUUCUUCGUUUUCAUAACUCUACUUGAAGAACAUAUGAUGUUUGCCAGUGUCUGACAUUACGGACCUCACAGCUUACUGAAUCUGAAAACAGGAGAUAGAGAUGGAAAGGAAAGCCUCAGGAACUUGUUGCAAUAGGGACUGCCAGGUCCCGUUGCACUAUUGGUGGAAGAGAGGUCCACACGGUGCCUACGAUAAGCGAUUUGUUCGUAUCUAUCCAGACUGCAGGUGCAUACAGCCACUCAUCCUCAAAUGCCAUCCUCAGGAGUUUAUGCUGCACACAGACUGGCACAUGUGCAGGAAGACAUAGUGCAGGGCUACGUGCUACAACAUUGUUGGUGACAGCAACAUAUUGGAAGCAACCUGAAUUUUUGUUAAUAGAGGAUUGGCUACAUAAAUGAUGCUAAUCUAUACAACUGGAGUACUAUGAUGCCAUAAAAAAGAAUGUACAAGGUCUUUACGUUUGGAAAGAUCUCUAAGAUAUAAUGAUUUUCUUUGCCUCUCAAGGGAGCUGGGAGAAACUCAAGUCUGAAACUCAAACUCAUCUCAGUCAUUCCUUUCCCUUCAACUAGACCUGAACCUCAGGAGAUCUGGAGUAUGUGCUGAAUUCUACUGGGAACUGAGCCCUCUGAAUAUUAUUAUUGUUUUGCUAAUACUUUUUGCUGGAAAGUACAUCAAACCAGGAUGUGUUGUACCUCUUGCUUUGCCAGACUAUUUAAAAGCAAAAGUGACCAGAUAUCCAACUUAAGGCUGAUCCAGGUUUUUCAUGAUCUAGCCAGGGGAGACAAACCUUCCAGGAAAGUCUCUAGCGAAGGCCAAGGAUUUUAGAAAGUAUCUGUGAACAAAGAAAUGCAAUGUUAGUGGGCUAAUUUCCAUAAUCAAAUGAAGCUGAUGCAAGUGCUUUGUGAAUUGAUGCCCAUCAACGAGAGACUGGAUAAAGAAAAUGUGGCACAUAUACGCCAUGGAAUACUAUGUAGCCGUAAAAAUG
This 1587-nucleotide long non-coding RNA is filed under the name Homo sapiens (human). Its description in RNAcentral is "HSALNT0332522". Lineage: Eukaryota; Metazoa; Chordata; Mammalia; Primates; Hominidae. The record is from RNAcentral.